GAUGAAGAACGUAGCGAAAUGCGAUACGUAAUGUGAAUUGCAGAAUUCAGUGAAUCAUCGAAUCUUUGAACGCACAUUGCGCCCGCCAGUAUUCUGGCGGGCAUGCCUGUCCGAGCGUCAUUUCAACCCUCGAACCCCUCCGGGGGGUCGGCGUUGGGGACCUCGGGAGCCCCUAAGACGGGAUCCCGGCCCCGAAAUACAGUGGCGGUCUCGCCGCAGCCUCUCCUGCGCAGUAGUUUGCACAACUCGCACCGGGAGCGCGGCGCGUCCACGUCCGUAAAACACCCAACUUCUGAAAUGUUGACCUCGGAUCAGGUAGGAAUACCCGCUGAACUUAAGCAUAUCAAUAAGCGGAGGA
This 358-nucleotide unclassified non-coding RNA is filed under the name soil metagenome. RNAcentral describes it as "partial contains 5.8S ribosomal RNA, internal transcribed spacer 2, and large subunit ribosomal RNA". The stretch from base 1 to 120 matches the Rfam family "5.8S ribosomal RNA", at positions 35 to 154 of the family's 154-position model. The record is from RNAcentral.